Molecule: transfer RNA, 58 nt
Filed under: Ictidomys tridecemlineatus (thirteen-lined ground squirrel)
Lineage: Eukaryota; Metazoa; Chordata; Mammalia; Rodentia; Sciuridae
Description: Spermophilus tridecemlineatus (thirteen-lined ground squirrel) tRNA
Rfam family: tRNA
About the family: Transfer RNA (tRNA) molecules are approximately 80 nucleotides in length. Their secondary structure includes four short double-helical elements and three loops (D, anti-codon, and T loops).
Source: Rfam by way of RNAcentral
UAGCUCAGUUGGUAGAGUACUUGCCUCACAUGCAUAAGGCUCUGGGUUCAAUUCCCAG